This 206-nucleotide ribosomal RNA is filed under the name uncultured bacterium. RNAcentral describes it as "partial 16S ribosomal RNA". It matches the Rfam family "Bacterial small subunit ribosomal RNA", at positions 568 to 774 of the family's 1533-position model. The record is from RNAcentral.
CACGCAGGCGGUUUGUUAAGUCAGAUGUGAAAUCCCCGGGCUCAACCUGGGAACUGCAUUUGAAACUGGCAAGCUAGAGUCUCGUAGAGGGGGGUAGAAUUCCAGGUGUAGCGGUGAAAUGCGUAGAGAUCUGGAGGAAUACCGGUGGCGAAGGCGGCCCCUGGACGAAGACUGACGCUCAGGUGCGAAAGCGUGGGAAGCAAACA